AAACAUGAAGCAAUUUUGCAUUCAGUUUCGACCUGACAUUAGAUAAAUAUUAUCCUUGUUUA
RNAcentral lists this transfer RNA (62 nucleotides) under Lipotactes tripyrga. Its description in RNAcentral is "tRNA-Arg". The record is from RNAcentral. Lineage: Eukaryota; Metazoa; Arthropoda; Insecta; Orthoptera; Tettigoniidae.